GAUGAACGCUGGCGGCGUGCCUAAUACAUGCAAGUCGAACGAGGUGCUUUUGUAGCAAUACGAGAGUAUCCUAGUGGCGAACGGGUGAGUAACGCGUUGGUGACCUACCCCAAAGUGUGGGAUAACAGUCCGAAAGGAUUGCUAAUACCGCAUGUGGUUAUCGGGUUUAGAAACUGAUAACUAAAGGAGCAAUUCGCUUUGGGAGGGACCUGCGUCCCAUCAGCUAGUUGGUGAGGUAACGGCUCACCAAGGCUACGACGGGUAGGGGACCUGAGAGGGUGACCCCCCACAAUGGAACUGAAACACGGUCCAUACACCUACGGGUGGCAGCAGUAGGGAAUAUUGCACAAUGGGCGAAAGCCUGAUGCAGCAACGCCGCGUGUGCGAUGAAGGCCUUCGGGUCGUAAAGCACUUUUCUGAGAGAUGAGAAAGGACAGUAUCUCAGGAAUAAGUCUCGGCUAACUACGUGC
RNAcentral lists this ribosomal RNA (470 nucleotides) under uncultured bacterium. RNAcentral describes it as "bacterial SSU rRNA". It matches the Rfam family "Bacterial small subunit ribosomal RNA", at positions 28 to 508 of the family's 1533-position model. The record is from RNAcentral.